Molecule: ribosomal RNA, 558 nt
Filed under: uncultured bacterium
Lineage: Bacteria
Description: bacterial SSU rRNA
Rfam family: Bacterial small subunit ribosomal RNA
Source: RNAcentral
AGUCGAGGGGCAGCGCGGGAUAGCAAUAUUCUGGCGGCGACCGGCGGAAGGGUGCGUAACGCGUGAGCGACAUGCCCGUUGCCCGGGGACAACCGGUGGAAACGCCGACUAAUCCCCGAUGGGAUAUUGUGCCGCAUGGCACGAUAUUGAAAGUUACGGCGGCGACGGAUUGGCUCGCGUCCGAUUAGCUUGUUGGCGGGGUAACGGCCCACCAAGGCUACGAUCGGUAGGGGUCCUGAGAGGAAGGCCCCCCACAAUGGGACUGAGACACGGCCCAUACUCCUACGGGAGGCAGCAGUGAGGAAUAUUGGUCAAUGGGCGGAAGCCUGAACCAGCCAUGCCGCGUGCGGGAAGGAGGCCCUAUGGGCUGUGAACCGCUUUUGCCUGGGGGCAAUAAGGGCGUCGCGCACGCCCGAUGAGAGUACCAGGCGAAUAAGCAUCGGCUAACUCCGUGCCAGCAGCCGCGGUAAUACGGGGGAUGCGAGCGUUAUCCGGAUUCAUUGGGUUUAAAGGGUGCGUAGGCUGUGCGUCAAGUCGGGGGUGAAAUUCCGGUGCUCA